RNAcentral lists this ribosomal RNA (253 nucleotides) under uncultured bacterium. RNAcentral describes it as "partial 16S ribosomal RNA". It matches the Rfam family "Bacterial small subunit ribosomal RNA", at positions 524 to 776 of the family's 1533-position model. The record is from RNAcentral.
UACGUAGGCAGCGAGCGUUGUUCGGAAUUACUGGGCGUAAAGAGUGUGUAGGCGGUGCUCUAAGUUCGGUGUGAAAUCUCCCGGCUUAACUGGGAGGGUGCGCCGGAAACUGGAGUGCUCGAGCGUGGGAGAGGAAAGCGGAAUUCCUGGUGUAGCGGUGAAAUGCGUAGAUAUCAGGAGGAACACCGGUGGUGUAAACGGCUUUCUGGACCAUAACUGACGCUGAGGCACGAAAGCGUGGGUAGCAAACAGG